UACGGAGGGUGCAAGCGUUAAUCGGAAUUACUUGUAGUAAAGCGCACGCAGGCGGUUUGUUAAGUCAGAUGUGAAAUCCCCGGUCUCAACCUGGGAACUGCAUCUGAUACUGGCAAGCUUGAGUCUCGUAGCGGGUUUUAGAAUUCCAGGUGUAGCGGUGAAAUGCGUAGAGAUCUGGAGGAAUACCGGUGGCGAAGGCGGCCCCCUGGACGAAGACUGACGCUCAGGUGCGAAAGCGUGGGGAGAAAACAGG
This 253-nucleotide ribosomal RNA is filed under the name uncultured bacterium. Its description in RNAcentral is "partial 16S ribosomal RNA". It matches the Rfam family "Bacterial small subunit ribosomal RNA", at positions 524 to 776 of the family's 1533-position model. The record is from RNAcentral.